This 272-nucleotide long non-coding RNA is filed under the name Medicago truncatula (barrel medic). RNAcentral's name for it is "long non-coding RNA (MTRU_LNC000180)". The record is from RNAcentral. Lineage: Eukaryota; Viridiplantae; Streptophyta; Magnoliopsida; Fabales; Fabaceae.
AACCAAAUUAUUUUUUAUGACACUUGCAUUGUGCUUGAUAUUUGAUUCUCUUUUGCCGACCAAGCAAGCUAAUAAAGCAAAUGAUAAGGAGAAUACCAACAAAAAAAGAAAAUGAUAUGGCCCCUUGUAGGGGAUCCCUAAAAGAAUAGCCUCUUUUGUAAAUAACAAGGAAGGAUCAAAUACAUUACUUAGAAAAGAAAAGAAUGAAGGAAAGAUCAAAUACAUUAGUGACAUGACAUCUCUUUUAGAAUUGGAGACAUGAUAAAUAUUAG